UACAAUAUUAUCGUUUAUCGCAAUAAUUUCUGGGAAAAUAUAUCGUCCUGAAACUUUUGUUGCAGGGUCAGGUGUGUUACAGGGUCAGGUGUGGUGCAGGGUCAGGUGUGUUACAGGGUCAGGUGUGUUACAGGGUCAGGUGUGUUACAGGGUCAGGUGUGGUGCAGGGUCAGGUGUGUUACAGGGUCAGGUGUGGUGCAGGGUCAGGUGUGUUACAGGGUCAGGUGUGGUGCAGGGUCAGGUGUGUUACAGGGUCAGGUGUGGUGCAGGGUCAGGUGUGGUGCAGGGUCAGGUGUGUUGCAGGGUCAGGUG
This is a long non-coding RNA of Astyanax mexicanus (Mexican tetra), 312 nucleotides long. RefSeq lists it as uncharacterized. The record is from RefSeq and is a predicted model, not a curated record. The transcript has 4 exons. NCBI's taxonomy places the organism in Eukaryota, Metazoa, Chordata, Actinopteri, Characiformes, Acestrorhamphidae.